AGGUGGUUAGAGCGCACCCCUGAUAAGGGUGAGGUCGGUGGUUCAAGUCCACUCAGGCCUACCA
RNAcentral lists this transfer RNA (64 nucleotides) under Escherichia coli DEC6C. RNAcentral's name for it is "partial tRNA-Leu". It matches the Rfam family "tRNA", at positions 14 to 71 of the family's 71-position model. Rfam says of the family: Transfer RNA (tRNA) molecules are approximately 80 nucleotides in length. The record is from RNAcentral. Lineage: Bacteria; Pseudomonadati; Pseudomonadota; Gammaproteobacteria; Enterobacterales; Enterobacteriaceae.